AGUAACGCGUGGGUAACCGUGCCUCAUACAGGGGGAUAACAGUUAGAAAUGACUGCUAAUACCGCAUAAGCGCACAGUGCUGCAUGGCACAGUGUGAAAAACUCCGGUGGUAUGAGAUGGACCCGCGUCUGAUUAGCUAGUUGGUGGGGUAACGGCCUACCAAGGCGACGAUCAGUAGCCGACCUGAGAGGGUGACCGGCCACAUUGGGACUGAGACACGGCCCAA
RNAcentral lists this ribosomal RNA (226 nucleotides) under uncultured bacterium. Its description in RNAcentral is "partial 16S ribosomal RNA". It matches the Rfam family "Bacterial small subunit ribosomal RNA", at positions 109 to 334 of the family's 1533-position model. The record is from RNAcentral.